This is a long non-coding RNA of Populus euphratica (Euphrates poplar), 483 nucleotides long. RefSeq lists it as uncharacterized. The transcript is spliced from 5 exons. The record is from RefSeq and is a predicted model, not a curated record. NCBI's taxonomy places the organism in Eukaryota, Viridiplantae, Streptophyta, Magnoliopsida, Malpighiales, Salicaceae.
AUAAAAAUAGUCCAGAAAAUAGAGAAAGAGUUGAAUUUGAUAUAUAUGGAAAACAUAAGUAUUGUAAAAGGCACAAUUCUUUUGUAUGCUAAUGUAAAUUGUAGCUAGAAGGGCUGUUAUCUUUUGUUUAAUGUCUUUAGCCUGUGAAGGGAUGUAAAUGGCUAUUCGAACAAGAGCAAGCAUUAGGCUUCACCAGUGUGUCAACUAACAUUCGAAUGACAGUCAUCAAACUCAAAUCUGGAGGAUUAUGGGUCCACGCACCCAUUGCUCCAACGAAGGAGUGUAUUCAGGUUCUCCUAACGAUUCUCAAUAGAUUUUUCGAGUCUUUCAUCUGAUAUUCCUUUUAAUCUAUAUUUUUUCGGGUGAGUGAGAUAAUAUUUAAUAUGCAUAUAAUAUAAAUAAAUAUGUAUGUUGAUUAUAUGAUGAAUACCACUAGUUAAUUUCUUGAAUAUUUAUAUAUGUUGCUUUAUUUUCCAAGUACUC